This 419-nucleotide ribosomal RNA is filed under the name bacterium. Its description in RNAcentral is "partial 16S ribosomal RNA". It matches the Rfam family "Bacterial small subunit ribosomal RNA", at positions 355 to 776 of the family's 1533-position model. The record is from RNAcentral.
UGGGGGAUAUUGCACAAUGGGCGAAAGCCUGAUGCAGCGACGCCGCGUGGGGGAUGAAGGCCUUCGGGUUGUAAACUUCUUUUGCUCUGAACAAGGCGCACCAUGGGGUGUGUUGAGUGUAGGGGUUGAUUAGCGCCGGCUAACUACGUGCCAGCAGCCGCGGUAAUACGUAGGGCGCGAGCGUUGUCCGGAAUUAUUGGGCGUAAAGGGCUUCUAGGUGGCUGGUUGCGUCUGUCGUGAAAGCUCAUGGCUUAACUGUGGGUUUGCGGUGGGUACGGGCUGGCUUGAGUGCAGUAGGGGAGGCUGGAAUUCCUGGUGUAGCGGUGGAAUGCGCAGAUAUCAGGAGGAAUACCGGUGGCGAAGGCGGGUCUCUGGGCUGUUACUGACACUGAGGAGCGAAAGCAUGGGGAGCGAACAGG